Long non-coding RNA from Capra hircus (goat), 402 nucleotides. RefSeq lists it as uncharacterized. The transcript has 4 exons. The record is from RefSeq and is a predicted model, not a curated record. Lineage: Eukaryota; Metazoa; Chordata; Mammalia; Artiodactyla; Bovidae.
AUCAAGAUCAAGCACAGACAUGGCUACUGAGAGCUCACAAACAUUCCUCCUGUUGGCCAUCCUUGUCCUGGGCCUCUUUGCUGAUCCCUCUGAGAGCCAAGAGCUGCGAUGCCAGUGUAUUCAGACACAAUCUGACUUUAUUUCUCCCAAAUUCAUUGCAAAAGUCUUGAUAAUCCCUGAAGGUGCUCACUGCAACAGAAAAGAAAUUAUAGUCACAUUGAAAGAUGAAAAAUUAAUUUGUUUGGAUCCUGAGGCUGAAUGGGUGAUGGAUAUUAUAAAAAAGAUUGUAUAGAGCCCUUAACUGAUGACCACACAAAAAGCAUCACGUUCUAUGGAUCUCAAGAGCCCUUUGUAUCAUCACGAAUUUGGGCAUCUCCAGAGUUUUCUUUGCAAAAUAGUUGA